GUGAUGACUGUUUCCAUCUCUAGGUCUUUGAACAGCUUUUGAUCCAAUUACACCACUGGGCACAUAAUCAACAUAUGAUGGGAUGACACUAGGAAAUGGAAUUUUUGGAGGAAGUAAUGCGUGCUUUCCAGAGUACAUAAAAUUUUUGACAUUUGAUGACCCCUUGGAAUUUGCCAUAGCCAAAACAGAACCAGUCCCUUUUGUAGAUUGAAGAACUAAGAUCUUGAAAUGCAAUUAAAAACGAGAAGAAUCGAGAUGAAACUUUCUGCUCUCUCUCUCUCUUUAUUAGGGUUUCUGUUUUUUGUUUCCUCUCAACGAAGACCUCUCUCUGUCUGUGUUUCUUUCUUUCUCUCUCUCUCUUCUCAUCGAAGACCUGGGAUUGAAAAAGGAC
This 391-nucleotide unclassified non-coding RNA is filed under the name Hevea brasiliensis (rubber tree). The record is from RNAcentral. Lineage: Eukaryota; Viridiplantae; Streptophyta; Magnoliopsida; Malpighiales; Euphorbiaceae.